CAAAGCACUAUGAAUAACUCAUGAAUAAAUAUUUUUAUCAUUGAUAAAAAAUAGGGGUUUCACAAUCUUCAUUUCAAGUCCAACUAAUAAAAACUACUAUAUACAACCUGUAGUUAUAUAUGUUAUGUAAGAAAAAUGUGUUUCUUCAAUUUCGACAGCUCCUCUGGGAAUUCUCUAUUACAUGGGAAAUGUCACCAUCUACAGAGACAGGAACUUUCGCAAGACGGCCAAUAUAAUUUGUGCCUUGAUCGCUAGUGGACGGUUCAGCGGUUACAUAACUUCAUAACUUCAGCGAUUACAUAACAUAUUGUCAAUUAUGUAUUUUAAACAAUAUUUUACACUGUAUCCAACAGACACAAAUCGACAAUAACAGAAAGCGCGCAAAACUGUAACGAACGAAUGCAAUCACCACAUUUGACUUCUUGAGUGAAUGAAGGUCUUAUGUUUGCGACUUAACACCUUCAUUCACGAAAAAUAAGGUUAUGUUCGUACAUAUCACCUUCUCUAACGCAAAAAAAGUAAAGUUUUUAUUUUUAUUAAAUGGGAGAGGGUGAUAUAUGAGAGGUGUAUAUACCUCUUUCAUCGUCUGUCUAUCUGUAAGUUUUAAAAUAAACUAAACAUAACACCUUUUUCAAAUUGUAUUUUUAAAAAUAGGCUUUAUAUCGACGAUUUUAAGGUUUGUAGUAAUUCAAUUAUACAUAUCAUAGUGAUCCAAAGAAAAAACACCGAAAACCGAAAAUUUUACAUAUCAUCUUCAUCCACUCACGUCUUCACUUUAUUGAAAGAAUGAUCAAAGAGACGUGAAAAAGUGUAGGAUUUGCAAGCAGAAUUUAUAAAAGCAAUGGGAUGCUGUUUUCUUUACACUGUAUUGUAGAAGAGUUUCUGUACUUUUGUAGAUUUGGAUAAGACUUAGGAUCGUGUAAUAAAGAAUGAAUCUUG
Long non-coding RNA from Pieris brassicae (large cabbage white), 939 nucleotides. RefSeq lists it as uncharacterized. The record is from RefSeq and is a predicted model, not a curated record. The transcript is spliced from 2 exons. Lineage: Eukaryota; Metazoa; Arthropoda; Insecta; Lepidoptera; Pieridae.